AAUUGCCACCAGUUAGAUUUGGAGAUAAAUGUCAUUUCGCAGUAUAGUUCGUGACGUGCGAGAUAGUAUUGGGAGCUUAUCCAGGCGAAGUUUUGAUGUAAGGGUGUCAGGUCAUCACAGAGGAAAAUCACAUGGUUCAUUUAAUGAACUCAAUGAUCACCCUGUCAUAGUACAGAACAGUCGCUGGGCUAAUCUACCUCCUGAGCUACUUUAUGAUGUCAUUAAAAGGCUAGAGGAGAGUGAAAGUACAUGGCCAGGUCGAAAGCAUGUUGUUGCAUGCUCUGCUGUUUGCAAAUCAUGGAGGAGUAUGUGCAAGGAUAUUGUUAGAAACCCAGAGUUCUGUGGGAAGCUGACAUUUCCAGUUUCUCUGAAACAGGUAGCUUUUUAUGUCUUUGUUUAUGUUUAUUGCUUACUAAGAGUACAAGAUACUACACGCUGUUUCUUAUAAACGACUUACGUUUUGUCUUGGAGUGUGAUGUACUUCUAUUUGACUAUUUCCAACGUAGUAGUUCUUUGCGACAAAUGUUAUGGUAUGACGACAAAGCUAAACCACAUUUAUUGUCUUUUCAGCCAGGAUCUCGUGAUGGGGCUAUUCAGUGCUUUAUAAAGCGGGAUAAGUCUAAUUUGACUUACCACCUUUUUCUCUGUCUUAGCCCUGGUGAGUGAUCUCUUCCAGUCUUAAAGAAGAUAAAUCUUUGUGCUUUAAUGUUCUUGUGAUGCACAUAUCUUAAAUGAUUCUCUCAACAGAGGAAUAUAGAAAGGCUACUGAGAAUUAUUGUCUAGAGCAGUGGCGGACCUACAGUCAAUGUAGUGGGGGCAUGGGCCCCCAGUGAACUUCUGGCCCAAACUUAUAUUUGAGAUAACUUAGCUACUGCCCUUGCAAGUUUAUGCUAAUGGAUAACUGUAUAAGCAUGAAUGAAAGAAAAGUAGCCAAGCUCUCUCGACUUUAUAACUUGUUUUAUGUCUACAACGUAUAUGCACAUCUUUUACUCAAAUUAUUUCAAGCCAUUUAAUAUAUCUUUUAUUUUAUUAUAUCUUGUUUAAAAAAAAAUUGUUGUGCCCCCAAUGACAUUUAUUCCUGGGUCCGCCACUGGUCUAGAGUACCAUCGUAAUCUAAUAAUAUCACUUAGAUUGUCAGUAUUGGUUAUAAAUCUGUUAAUCUUUUUGUUGUCAAGGAAAGAGAUAAAUAUACUUAUUUAGCAGCACUCCAAUUAUUUGCGGGAUUGCAUUUAUUGCUUGGCUUAUUGGGNGGCGCUCUNAAUUGUUGUGCCCCCAAUGACAUUUAUUCCUGGGUCCGCCACUGGUCUAGAGUACCAUCGUAAUCUAAUAAUAUCACUUAGAUUGUCAGUAUUGGUUAUAAAUCUGUUAAUCUUUUUGUUGUCAAGGAAAGAGAUAAAUAUACUUAUUUAGCAGCACUCCAAUUAUUUGCGGGAUUGCAUUUAUUGCUUGGCUUAUUGGGAACAAAAUGAUAUAUAGUCUGCCCUAGUCUAGUCUGAUUGGAUGAAUAAAUUUGUCAGAAGUGGUAAUAAAUCUGCUAUGUUUUUUGUAGUGACUCGUGAGUGAACGAAGCAAAUGCGAGCUUUUAUCAGUACUAUAGUUUCCUAUGGUUGUGUUAUAUCGACUUAUCAAGAGCAAGAUAAAUUUUCCCGAAUAGGAUUAUCUUUGUGUGCAGGGUGCAGCACAUAUAAAUUCUUUGAUUAUUAUAGUGAAAGGGAAUUUUUGCAGCCAUCUUCUGUUAGAAUAGUUAUUGUGUUUUAUGAGUUUUUGAUAUCACAUAUAUAUAUCUCAGAUUGAGUGUCUUACUGGUUUUGAGUGUACUGGACCUUGUUGAUGAACAGUCCCAUACUUUUUCACUUUCUUCUGAGAUUUGUUAUAAUGCUCAUCUUGUCCAGCUUUUUAAUGCGUUUUGUAUUUCACAUAUACUGUGACAUGAUUCUCUUUUUAUGCAUUUGCUAGUGAGGUGGUAUGUUUGUGCUUAUAUUAAGUUGUACACACACACACACACACACACACACACGUAUAUGUAUAUAUAUAAUAUUCUGUAGGUGUUGAUAUGCUUUUGGGACUUUUCCUUACUGUAGCUUUGCUAGUUGAAAAUGGAAAGUUUCUUCUGUCUGCAAAAAGAACGCGACGAACAACUUGCACAGAAUAUGUGAUAUCUAUGGAUGCAGACAAUAUUUCAAGGUCCAGCAGCACCUACAUUGGAAAGCUAAGGUAACAAGAUAGAGCUGUGACUUUGAUUAAGAUUUUGAUCUCUCUCUGGCUUAAAUCUCUGAAUUUUUACCUUAUCUUUAUAUUGUCUUGAUUGGUUUAUUUGAAGUUAUACCAAAAACACAUUGGUGGACUUUAAGCUUAAAUUGGUCACUUUGGAGACAGUUGAGUUAUUUAAAUAACGCCCUUGUUAUAUCCUGUGAGCUCAGAAUAAGAGCUGCAGCUGCAGGCUUUUGUUUAACUCGGGGGUUAAGAAUGUAUAAAGAACUACUAUUGGUUAAAAAGCAUGUGCUGUAUCCAUGGCUUACAUAAACAGCUGACGUGAUAGGAUCAAGAUAAUUGCAAAGAAAUUGCAUAAUCUUGCCUUUUCAUAUCUAAUCGAAACAUAGUGGGAAAAGUCAUUUGUCAUUUGUCAAGCAGAUAUUUGCCUUGCAAUGUAGUUUUACACUUUCAUGAGUUUUUCUAAUGUAAAUCACAGACCUCUGAUGAUGAGCUUACUAGGUGAGUAGUUGUAACACAUGGUGGGAGUCUAGUCUUUGUGUAAUAUUUUUUCUAGGACGUUAUGCUGCUCUCAUAAUUAAAAAUAUGAUUAGUUGGGUUCACCACACUGAUAAUAUUUUUUUCGGUUGUUUGCUAAUUGCUAUGCAUUUCUUUUAGUACGAGUCAUCAAUUAAAUCCUCAUGCAUGAGGCAACAUAUAUUCUCCAUUAUAAUUUAUAGCAAUGUUUGCUUCCUUCUUAGAACUCCUAAAAACAUGCAAAUUUGGUGUUGUCUUUUUAUAAUGCUUAUAUCUACAUAUUUAAUUUAAGAAAUUAUUUUCUAAAUGCAUCAAAUCUUGUGUGACUGAUAUCAUUGCUGUUGUCUGUUUCAGAUCGAAUUUCCUUGGCACAAAAUUUAUUAUAUAUGAUACCCAGCCUCCACACGCUGGUACCCAUGUUCCGCCACCAGGCAGAUCUAGCCGUAGAUUCUAUUCCAAAAAGGUCUCUCCUAAAGUCCCAACAGGCAGCUAUAACAUAGCUCACAUCACAUAUGAGCUUAAUGUCCUUGGCACCCGUGGUCCGAGAAGGAUGCACUGCAUUAUGCACUCAAUCCCCAUCUCAGCCCUUGAGGCAGGUGGCACCGUUCCUGGGCAGCCAGAGCUCCUACCUCGCUCUGUUGAUGACUCAUUCCGAAGCAUUUCCUUCUCAAAGUCUCUUGACCACUCAGUGGAGUUCAGCAGUUCACGCUUUUCUGAAAUUGGUGCUGCUGCUGUUGCUUGCAGUGAAGAUGAGGAAGGGAAAUCAAAACCCUUGAUUCUGAAAAACAAGGCACCGAGAUGGCAUGAACAGUUACAGUGCUGGUGCCUGAAUUUCCGAGGACGAGUUACAGUAGCCUCUGUUAAGAACUUUCAGUUGAUUGCAUCCACACAGCCAACUGUCACGGCUGCACCAACAACUUCCCAGCCAGCGCAACCUGAACAUGAUAAAGUCAUAUUGCAGUUUGGUAAGGUAGGAAAAGAUAUGUUUACUAUGGAUUAUCGCUACCCGUUGUCUGCUUUCCAGGCAUUCGCGAUCUGUUUAAGCAGUUUCGACACCAAAUUGGCUUGUGAAUAAAAGAUUGAAAAAGAAGAUUAUCUUCAACUCUAGAGCUAUAAAAGGAUUGCAUAAAGAGGAAUAGCAUGUCUUCUGUAUUGUUAAUUUCUGUUCAAGUCGUCUCCUUUAGACACCAGAGUAGGAGACUCUUGUUAGUGUCAUGUUUGUUGUAAACUCAACUGUAACAGUAGCCCUAUGCUCUGCUCUUUGGGUGCUUCGACCUUUCUAAUCUCAAUUCUAUCUGUCUCAUCCCCCUCCCUCCCUACCUUUAUAUAUAUGCUGUGGUUCGAAUAAACACCAUUUUAGCGUGAUAAAACAUGAGAACUAUGUGUUCUGCCAUUUUUUUUUUGUUGUGUUCCGCCGAUUUGCUAGAUUUGAUCACGUGAAAUCUCCUAUGUGUAAACUGUGGGCAAGAGGUUGCCAUCUUUGAAGUCUCUUAUUGUCAACUUGGAUGAUAUUUCAUUACUGUAUAGAGAGCAUAAUUAAUCUUUUUCACAGCACAACUAGAUCUAAUCAUUCACCUUCCUAUAUUCAAAAGCAAUUGAAAAAAGUUAAGUUGAUAUGAUAACUUGAGAAAGCAACAAUCUUUUUUCCUCCUACACUGUUAAGGCAUUAAAUGUUAUGGAGAUCCAAGGAGAUCUUCUGGUGAUCACAAAAUGAGGCAGAAUAGGUGUAGAGAGCCAUGAAUAUUGAAUAGAAUUGACACUUUCAAACAAUAAUUAUGGGACAUCAACAUCAACUAGAUCAAAGGCCACAUUGUUUGGCCAACAACUUGUGAUGGUAAUGAUGCAAGGAGAAUUUUGCUUGGAAAAGUUUCUGAUGGUAUCUAGUUUCAAGAAUUCGGAUGGAUCAAAGUUCCCGACUCUCUCAAAACCUCGAGUCAUAUAUAUGUGUUAACACUUAACACAAGCACAAUGAGUUUUUUUUUUAUCAAUGAAGUAAAAAUGGGAUGUAAAACAAAGGUUUGCAUCAACUCCCAGGGAAAUACCAGACUUGUGGGAAGAAAAAAGAGUAUUUUUACUGUGAAGAAGCCUUGUAUGUAGGACAAGACUCAAGAGUGCAAGGCAAGAUUGGAUAUGCUGGUAGGAAAAGAAAGAUAUAUACCAAGCAGAAACUAGUAACAUCAGCUAGGGCCAGUCAUUAAGAACCCAGAAAAGUCUCCAUUAAUGCCUUAUCUACAAGCAAGACACUUUGCACACUUAGACUGGAGGAUUAAUACAGUAGUAGUUUUACUCCCAUCAAUACAGCAGAAAAGUGGCACCCUCAGUUGCUACAGUAAGUAAUGCCUUGAGAAUAGGUCUUGAUCCUGAAAAAACUUCAAAUACGCGGUGCAAGCCUGCAAGGGCAUGUAUCUGACAGGAUCAAGAACAUUUCCUCCACGCGGCUUCGAUGUGUUGUGUAUAAAUUGAUCAGAAUAGCACAAUGCAGUAAUGUAUGGGUUCCAAAAAAUCAAGAUUGCUAUUGUUAAGAACGUCAAGAAGGUGAUGCUGCCAAGACAAAUCGACGGAUGCCUAGAAAUUAAAAAAUCCGCAAAUAGCUGCAGAGGGAAACCUACAGGGAUGCAAAUUUAUGAUUCAUAUGAAUUAGAGGUGAUACCAUCUGGUCAGUAUCAGUUAAGAUAUUGGUAGGAGCCCAGAAUCUGUAACCAAUGACACGUCAUAUAUGCAGCUGCAUGACAGCUGUUGCAAGCCACUCGGGCCAAGAAAUAAAUUUGCAUGUGAAUUUACGAUAUGAAUGUGGAUGACUAGUUACGAUAUGAGUUAACAUUCCAUGUAUUUUAAGAUAUGAAUGUGGAUGACUAGUUGCGAUCAUAAAAUCAAUCAAAAUAUAAAUUUUGGUGUAUCCACUGAAAUUAAAUUAAUUUGUCAAAAUAACUAAUUCAUGUAUCAUCUUUUUGCAGGAAAAAUUGAUAAUGCAGCAUCACCUUCUGCAAGAAUAUUACUAGUACUACUCAAGUAACGCCCAGCUAGGCAUGUCAACGGGUCGGGUUUGGAUCAUCAGUCUAAAUCCAUAUCCAUAUCCAUUUAUUUUAUCGGAUUUGAAUUCGGAUCGGAUUGGGACAAGAUUUUUUAAAGACCAAUCCAUAUCCAGAUCCAUUAGGAACACGGAUCACGGAUCGGAUAUUCGAAUCCAUUUAACUUUUUUUGAUUUUUUUAGAUUUAAAAAUAUUUUAAAAAAAUUCAUGUCGGUGAUUCUUCAAGUUCCGGAAGGACAAGAUUAAAACGAGAUUUCAUGAUGCAAGUAGCAUGAUAUAUUUUCAUCUAUAAAAAAUAUCACAAAUUAAGUUAGAAAAAAAAAAUACACAAAAUGAUAUAAUUUCGAGGAUACUAGUUGCUCUAACUUUUAAACUCAUACAUACUCCUUUUGUUUGUUAAUAUACGACAUUUGACUUUUUGGUACACAUUUUUAAGUAUUUUGAAAGGUUAGUUAAAAGUAUUUUUAAUAUUUUCUUUUUCUGAAUAAAAAUAUAUAAUCAAUAUUUCAAUUUACAAAAAAAUUCAUUUAAAAAUAAUAUUUUAUACUAUCCGAUCAACCCACCUAAAAAUAUGUGCUCAAGUCAAAAGUGUCGUAUAAAAAAACCAGAGGGAGUCCUAAUUAUUUAAAUGAUUAAUCAAACAUACCAUCCCGGACUCACAUAAAUGCUAUCCAGUCACUAAUACAAUUCAAAAAAUUUAUAAUAUAUAUAUAUAUUCCACCGGAUCGGGUUAUUAACGGAUCAGAUCACCUUAAAUACAUAUCCGCUUUAUUUAUUAUCAGAUUUUUUUAUCGGAUCAGAUUUCAGAUCGAAUUUAUUUUUGAUCCCAGAUCGGCUCGGAUCGGGGCGGAGCUCCGGUCCAUGGACAAACCUACGCCCAGCUCAGCUAGCAUAUAAACAAACAUUUAUAUAUUUGAAUCAUAAAACAAAACGUAAAGCACCCAAUUUUAAGUACAAAGUCUAUUCUUUAAGAUUUUGAUAGUCUAUUGCUCUUAAAGUUCCUUCCUUUCUGGAGUUUUUGAGAAUCCAAGGACUUGAUAUAUACACUUGUUUAAACCCCAACUCAAGAUUUUCUUGCAAUUGAAAAUUUAAGGUAUGCGCUGUUUAGCAUUGCUGUUUUCUGUUUUUUAAGUUUCUAUUAUAUGGGUUUUGCAUUUGUAUUGCUCUAGGUUCAGAAAGUUCAUGUCUUUUCUUAUGUUUUUGUAUCUUCUGGGAAAUUGAUUCUGACCCUAUUGCAUCUUAGAGGGUUUUUUACUUGUAUAUGGUAAUUGGGUUUUGAUUAUAUUGGUGGUUAUAUUGGGGGUCACCCUGUUUGUAUCUGGAUGUUGUUGUAGUGUUUAUUGAGUUGUCUUUAGAUAGUUUGUGGGAGAUUUUGUUUGAAUUGGGAAAAUGCCUUCUACGGAUAGCCCGGGUUUAUCAAUGCCAUUCGCUACAUUUCGUCGAUCAGUUUUUGGUUUAGGGAAUGAUAGAAUUCAUUCCUUGGAAUCGAAUCGUAGUCCACUUGUCCAAAACACUGAGUUUGAGUCAUUUCAGAAUAAAGUCUAUAAGAGAUUUCAUGAUCUCUCGAUUGCCAACUGCCAAGGCUGAUGAGUUUCUUUCACUUACAUGGAUAAGUAAGUUACUUGAUACCUUGAUUGAUUUCCAAGAGGAAUUUAGGGUCCUAUUAUGUAAGUAUAAGGUUGAUAUGUCGAAACCGCCUUUAGACAAGAUGAUUCUGAUUACUUUGAGAGGAGCAUCAAGGUGCUUGACAUAUGUAAUGCAACUAGAGAUGGGGUUGAUAUGAUUAGGCUUUGGAACAAGCAUUUGGAUAUGGUUCUAAGUGCUUUUGGUUCUCGACAAAGGAUCAUUGGUGAAGGCACGUUUCGUCGAGCAAGAAAAGCUUUGACAGAGUUAGCACUCGUGAUGCUUGAUGAUAAGGGCUACGGGAGUGUUGUCUCACACAUGAAUAAGGUCUUUUGGGUGGCAUAAUAAGGGGAAAGAACAGCACUAUCGUUUACAAGGACACUCAAGGUCUCUGUCUUGGAGUGUAUCACAUUCGUGGUCAGCAACAAAGCAGCUUCAAUCCAUUGCAAACACAGUAGUUCCACCGCGUGCUCAUGAGAUCACAGAAACUAAAGGGCUUGCAGUUCCCAUCUUCACAAUGAGUUUUGUGCACAUGUUUGUACUGUGGGCUCUGGUUGCUGCUAUUCCUUGUCAAGAUCGCAGCCUUCAAAUUCAUUUCUCUAUUCCAAGGCAGUUUUCAUGGUCAACUCCUUUUUACUUGAUUCAUGUCAGGAUCAUGGAUGAAUCUAAGAAGAGAGAUCACAGAAGCUCCAUUGGGUUACUUCAGGAGAUAUAUCAGCUAGAAAGUAGUGUUAGACGCAUCACAGAUAUUGUAGAUUCUGCCCACUUUCCUAUGACAGAGCAACAAAAGGAAGAAUCGAAGUCUGCGGUUAAGGAGAUAACUUUGGUAUGUGAAGCUUGUAAAGAUGGAAUGGAUCCCCUUGAACGACAAAUAAGGGAAGUGUUUCGCAGAAUUAUGAGUUUCCGGAUUGAGGGUCUUGCAAUACUAGGGAGGGAAGACUAGCCUUGUUAAUUCAGACCACCACUAAUGAACAGCAAAAAAAAAGAAGAAUAUCGGACGAAUCUGGGAAUUAGUGUUUUGACCAGCCUCGCUCAGAAAAUGUUCUCCCUAUUGUUAUUUAGCAGGUACUUUCUUUAUUUACAAGCAUACCUCACAUAAUGUAAAGAAUAUACGAGUGUUUAUAUUGGACCAUCCUAAACUGGGUGUUAUCCAAAUUAAUUGAUUGGUUUCUUCUUGUUUAUUUCUCUUUCGCAAGGUUUGAUUGAAGGAGCAAGUUUGUGUAUAUGAGAAGAUUCUUUUAAAGGAUAUACGCACACACACCAUUGCUUAUCUGUUUUUAUUGUAUAUCAUCUUGGCCUUCCAUUGAUGAUGAUUAUGAAUAUGAGAAGUUGAUUUGAGUUUGUUUUAAUCUUUUGGUGCGCACUGCACAAUGCACUGCACUAUGGUAGAUGUUUUGAACGGCGAUUGAGAUGAUUCAUUGACAAAAGUAAGAGUUUGUCGGAUGUGGGAGUAGACUGUUAUCUCAUGAAUUUAAAUUGAUGUUUUUGCGGACAACCAAUUCAAAGAAUUUGGAGGAAGGAGUCACUAAUAUACACCUGCAUGGAUUGGAAUUAAUAUGUCCCGACAUGAUUAAUGUUCGUAUAACUAGAACAUAAUGUUUAUCCCUAUUAAAACUGGGGAUGUUUUCGGAUUUGCAUAUCAAUAUCUUGUUGAUUUUUACGUACUUAUGUUUUUGCAAACUUAUUGUCCGUUUUAUUGGUCAAUCAAUGUAUAUGGCUAGAUGUCAUCAAUCAGUUCUGUUAAAGAGCUGUAUGCUUUUUACAUGUAGGGCAUGGUGUAUAUGUUUAAGAAGUAGUGUUUGAAAAUUAAUGACAAUGUUCUUGAAAAACAUGCUUACUUUAAAAAAAAAAAACACAACUAAAAGUAAGGUUCGUCAUGCCUUCGAUCGUUGAUUAUAUGUAGAAAUUCAUUUUUAUUUUUCACUCAUGAAUUAAAGUCCAAUUUUGUAAUUUCAUAUAUUAAUAUUGGUAUUGUAUCGAGAUGUUUAUAAUAUAAAAUUUAUUUUACUCUGCAAAUACUAAUUUUGAGUCAUUAAUAUAAUUUUUAUACGCCGCCGCAACGCGCGGCUUCUCAACUAGUAUAGAACUUAUAGUGAAUUAUUAUAUUGAUAAUGUGACAAUUCUGAUAUUAUUUUUUCUACUUUCUUUUUAUUUAUAUUUUAUUUUAUCUGAUAAAAAAGUUGGAUAUUGAGUUGCAGAGAAGUGAAUAUAAUUAGAGGGAAGUGAAUAUUAUAUUUAUUAAUAAUUUAAAGAAUAACUAGAUACUUUUUUUAACUAAGACACUUUUAGAUGAGAGGAAACUCUUGAAUUUUCAAAAAGCUGUUAUAAAUAUAUUAGAGCACUAUUUUUUCACAUCUCUUUAAAUUUAAAAUUAAGGAUUUUUGUAUAACUCAUCGACAAUGCUCUUAGUUUAUUCAUUGCUAGAUUAUAAAUUACCUACUGUACUUUUUAUGAAAUGGUUGAGACAUAUUUUCACAACAGGUUAAAUCUUGAAUUUUUUUCAAAAUUUUGGUCAAGUUUUUAGUUUGUGAAUUUAAAAAUAAGUCAAAAUAUACUAUUCUAAAUGUAACGAUUUGAAUAAUACACAAGCCCAUUGUAUGCCUCCAAAAAAUCACCAUUUAUUUAUUGGUGUAUUGUGCAAUUGAUAAUGAAUUAAUUCAUAUUAAUAAAUCAAAAGAAUGUCUCUAUUUUGUAAACGUGAGACUGAAAUGUUAUAUAAACACUUAACUCCUUAAAGUUAGAACUUAUUUAUAGGAAUAUAUUUACGAAUCAGUACUGAAAAGCAUGUGUCCAUCAUUCCGGCCAAAGAUGAAAUAAAGAGACCAUGAGAUUUAAAUUAAGGAGCCGUGCAAAAAUUUUACUUGUUUUCUUAUCAUAUAAACAAUCUGAUUUGUCUUAUAUGACGACUAACAGUUUCAAUAUACAACGUAAUAAUGCAGCAAAUUGCUAUGACCAAUGUUCCAGAAUUCGCUAGGCGUCCCUGGACGGUCGGGGUACCUUCGAGUGAUUAAUCGGGAAAUCGGGGAUUAAUCGGAAGGAUUAAUCGGAGCAUUUAAUUGGACAUAUAUUAUUUUUAAAUUAUUAUAAUUAAAUGUAAUUUAAUAAUUUUAUCUAUUUUUCACUACUGGUAGAGUCAAACUGGUAAAUAAUAUAAUAUCACAUAUAAAAUAAAUACUUGAUACAUGUAAUACAAAAUCGUUGAUUAGAUAAAUAUAUAUCAAUCAUUCUCUUAUAAAUAAUUUAAGAAAUAUUAAAUAAAAAUAUUAGUCAUUUUAAUUUUUUUAUAAGAUAUUAAGUUAAUUACAAGUGAAUACUUAAUUUCUUACAAUAUAAUCAUAAUUUUAGAUUUUAUUUAUUAAAAAUAUGAUUUUUUUUGUUAUUAGCCGCCUGGACCGCCUAGGCGGGAUGUUGACCGCCUAGGACCGAUUUUUGUAAAAAAAUGUCUAAUUCACCGCCUAGGACCGAAUCAGGGCGUUUCGGGGCCGCCUAGCGUCUAGGCACCGUCUAGACCAAUUUUUAGAACACUAGUUAUGACCGAGUAGUAUAAUAUGGUGAGCUAUCACAUAACUUUCAUCUGGCGGGAAAAACGACGUUAAACAUAGAAAAUUCUAAUAUGAAAUAAUUUAUAAUGAUAUUGUAACACUUUAAAUAUACGUCAAAAACAUAAUUAUUGUAUUAUUUUUUUCAACUGUAUGUAUGCUACUAAUGUUAGAGAACCAUACCACUUGUAUAUAGUGGUGUACAAAACAGAAAUUGCAAAAUAAGUAUACACGAGCCUUUCACUUCCUUUCCCCAAAAAAAAAUUUUACAACCCAAACCGGCCAAACACUGCCCUAAUUCGAGGAUAAUAAAAAACAGCAACUGUUUAUAUCGGCAACUUUCGUUAAAGCGUUGUUUGUCAGAGACUUUGGUGCGUGUAUACAUACAAUCUCUAUCUCCAUCUGUAUCGCAUAUACGACUGCACAGUGCCCCCAACUCACAAUCUCAAAAAGUCAACACCAUGUUAGUCGUUGGUUGCUUUCUAGCCAGGUUUUGAUGAUGUAGUGGGUAUUAUUCUAUUUCUUAUUAUGUUCAAGAUUCAAGCUUUUUGAUGUUUUUAUGUUCAAUAUGAGUCUUUCAGAUCUUGGUAUGUGAGUUCUUUGGGGGUUUUGUUCUUAAUAAUGGUAUAAUUUCAGUGGUUUUGAUUUUUGGUUCACUGGCUCUCAAGAAAAAAAGUAAAAAAAAUUCUUAUUUUUUAAUUUUAAUUUAUGCUUCUGUUUUUUGCAAGACAUGGUUAGGUUUUUGCCAGUUUUACUUUGUGAUUUAAUUGAUGUUUGAAGGUAGAUAUGCUUGUUGAUUGUGAAUUUUUGGGCUGAUUUUGAAUGGGUCAAUUUUGACUUUUUCAAGUAAUUUGUAUAGUCUGUAUAUAUUUUCUAUCUGAUUUCUGAACUUGAGUUGAUGGAUGCAGAUCUUAAUGUUGCUGUAGGGAUUUGAAAAAAUUGUGUAGUAAGCAGCUUAGAUUCCUCAUCCUUUGGGCCUUUCCUGAUAGCUAUAUGUUUAAUUUUACACUUUGAUAUGCUUGUAAACAUACAAUCUGGUCAUGUUAAGAUUUCUGUUGUGAACUGAGAAUCAGGUACAUAUAUGAUAUAUGUAUGUUUUAUUGAAUUGCAUCUUGAAGAGUUGAAAUAUAAUGUACAAAUGAAACCAAGCCUGCAUUUGAUUUGUUAUUUGUUUCGGUGUAUUGUUGUAUGAGUGUACUGAAUCAAAUAUUUGUUCACAAGAUUAGGCUAAAAUCAACAACCUUAGCCUUUUUUAGUGGAACUGUAAGAGUUAUUAGACCUUGAUAAAUAUCAGAAAGAUGCAAGUAAAAAAUUUCUCAAUUUAGUCUAGUUUAGAGUCACUAUGAAUGUGUCUUUAUCUACUCAUCUUCUUUUCUUUUCUUUUUUCCUUUAGAUGCCCUUUUGAUUUCUCCCUUCUCUUUAUCUGAGAAUAUAAGUCUUUGCCUCAUAAAUCUAAUUGACCUUUCAUAUUUUAUUGCAGCUUUAUUCACAUGUGAAGUGUAAUAAAAUUAUAGAAAUAGAGUGAAAGUAGUUGUGACUAGAGUUCUGAAAGUGAGUUUCAAUUGCCACCAGUUAGAUUUGGAGAUAAAUGUCAUUCCGCAGUAUAGUUCGUGAUGUGCGAGAUAGUAUCGGGAGCUUAUCCAGGCGAAGUUUUGAUGUAAGGGUUUCAUGUCAUCACAGAGGAAAAUCACAUGGUUCAUUUAAUGACCUCGAUGAUCACCCUGUCAUAGUACAGAACAGUCGCUGGGCUAAUCUUCCUCCUGAGCUACUUUAUGAUGUCAUUAAAAGGCUAGAGGAGAGUGAAAGUACAUGGCCAGGUCGAAAGCAUGUUGUUGCAU
This 12756-nucleotide long non-coding RNA is filed under the name Daucus carota (carrot). Its description in RNAcentral is "long non-coding RNA (DCAR_LNC004322)". Lineage: Eukaryota; Viridiplantae; Streptophyta; Magnoliopsida; Apiales; Apiaceae. The record is from RNAcentral.